Molecule: ribosomal RNA, 377 nt
Filed under: uncultured Elusimicrobia bacterium
Lineage: Bacteria; Pseudomonadati; Elusimicrobiota; Elusimicrobia
Description: bacterial SSU rRNA
Rfam family: Bacterial small subunit ribosomal RNA
Source: RNAcentral
UAAUACGUAGGUGGCAAGCGUUACUCGGAAUUACUAGGCGUAAAGCGUAUGUAGGCGGUUAGAUAAGUCUAUGGUGAAAUCUCCCAGCUCAACUGGGAUAGGUCCAUAGAAACUGUCUAGCUUGAGUGUGGGAGGGGAAGAUGGAAUUCCUGGUGUAGCGGUGAAAUGCGUAGAUAUCAGGAGGAACACCGAUGGCGAAAGCGAUUUUCUGGCCCAAUACUGACGCUGAGAUACGAAAGCUAGGGGAGCAAACAGGAUUAGAUACCCUGGUAGUCCUAGCUGUAAACGAUGUUCACUAGAUGUGGGAGGUAUCGACCCCUUCCGCGUCGACGCUAACGCAUUAAGUGAACCGCCUGGGGAGUACGGUCGCAAGGCUG